AUAAUUUUUAUUCUUAAAAUUAAAAAAAUAAAAAAAGAAACCCCCAAACCCUUACCCAACUCUUUCAUUCCUCUCAAUCCUUUCUCUUUCAUCUCUUUCACUCAGACUUUUUCUCUGUCAUCCCUACGCUAGCCCCAAUUGAAAAAAAUCAGAAACAUUUGCCUUAUUUUAAUAAUUUUCAUUCUCAAAACUAAAAAAAAUAAACCAAACCCUUACUCACUUCCUUCAUUCCUCUCAACCCUUUCACUCAAACAUUUUCUCUAUCAUCUCUGCACUAG
Molecule: long non-coding RNA, 278 nt
Filed under: Vigna radiata
Lineage: Eukaryota; Viridiplantae; Streptophyta; Magnoliopsida; Fabales; Fabaceae
Description: long non-coding RNA (VRAD_LNC009403)
Source: RNAcentral